UGAAGCGAAAGCGGAACGACCCUUCGGGGAGCAAUCACAGGUGCUGCAUGGCUGUCGUCAGCUCGUGUCGUGAGAUGUUCGGUUAAGUCCGCUAACGAGCGCAACCCUCGCCGCGUGUUACAAGUGUCACGCGGGACUGCCAGUCUUAAGCUGGAGGAAGGUGGGGAUGACGUCAAGUCAGCAUGGCCUUUAUAUCCUGGGCUACACACACGCUACAAUGGCCGGUACAAUGGGUCGCGAAGUCGCGAGGCGAAGCCAAUCCACAAAGCCGGUCUCAGUUCAGAUUGCAGGCUGCAACCCGCCUGCAUGAAGACGGAGUUGCUAGUAACCGCAGGUCAGCUAUACUGCGGUGAAUACGUUCCCGGGCCUUGUACACACCGCCCGUCACGUCAUGGGAGCUGGUAACACCUGAAGCCGGUAUCCGAACCGCAAGGACGGAGCCGUCGAGGGUGGGGCUGGUGACUGGGACGAAGUCGUAACAAGGUAGGUGUACCGGAAGG
RNAcentral lists this ribosomal RNA (500 nucleotides) under uncultured bacterium. RNAcentral describes it as "bacterial SSU rRNA". It matches the Rfam family "Bacterial small subunit ribosomal RNA", at positions 997 to 1512 of the family's 1533-position model. The record is from RNAcentral.